AGAGUUCAUCCAAAUGGAAGCUGUGGAACCACAAUUAUCAAGCCCCGAUAGUUCAUCACUUGAUGGUAGGAUGGCAGUUAUAAGCACAAAUCUACAGUCACACUCACCAUUUAUCAUAGAUGAUGAUGAUUUUGAAACAUGUUCCACCAUUCAAAGCAGCAAGUCACUGACACUUCAAAGUGUAAGAUCUUUUUAUGAUGAUGGGAACCAUGAAAACAGAAAACGACGAAUCAGGUUCAACUUGCCAGAGAACUCUGGCAUGGAUCCUGAAGUUAGGGAUGAGCUUAUAGAUUUGGUUCAGGCAAAGGAGUCAGGGGUUGCAUAUAUAAUGGGACACUCAUAUGUCAAGGCACGUAGAUUGUCCUCUUGCUGGAAGAAAUUUGUCAUUGACGUUGCAUAUUCAUUUCUGCGUAAGAACUGCAGAGCUUCCGCUGUUGCACUUAACAUUCCUCACAUUAGUCUUAUUGAAGUUGGCAUGAUAUACUAU
This 487-nucleotide unclassified non-coding RNA is filed under the name Hevea brasiliensis (rubber tree). The record is from RNAcentral. Lineage: Eukaryota; Viridiplantae; Streptophyta; Magnoliopsida; Malpighiales; Euphorbiaceae.